GACAGAGGGUGCAAACGUUGUUCGGAAUCACUGGGCGUAAAGCGCGCGUAGGCGGCCUGCUAAGUCGAACGUGAAAUCCCUGGGCUCAACCCAGGAACUGCGUCCGAUACUGGUUGGCUUGAAUCCGGGAGAGGGAUGUGGAAUUCCAGGUGUAGCGGUGAAAUGCGUAGAUAUCUGGAGGAACACCGGUGGCGAAGGCGACAUCCUGGACCGGCAUUGACGCUGAGGCGCGAAAGCCAGGGGAGCAAACGGG
RNAcentral lists this ribosomal RNA (253 nucleotides) under uncultured bacterium. RNAcentral's name for it is "partial 16S ribosomal RNA". It matches the Rfam family "Bacterial small subunit ribosomal RNA", at positions 524 to 776 of the family's 1533-position model. The record is from RNAcentral.